AAUGGUUCUUUUCGGGAUAGGUGUCGAUGGGCGUAGUUCGAAGCAUUCAAAUAAGGUGUGUACAGCGAGAAUUCUCAUUUCACUUGUGCGUUCUGCGAAAGAACAACGGUUUUUCGAUUUGCUACGAGCGGAGCUAACUCUAGCAAAAAUUAGCUCAACUGCAAUGGCGCAGAGGAAGAUGUCAGAUGUGGAGGCGCUGUAAGAAAUAUUUCGGAGCGAUGUGGAGCUGGAAAACUCUUCUUAUAGCUAGUGGGAUUCGGAGGAGGAGGAAGAGGAGAGAGCCGGAGAGGAGAGACCCCCUGAGAGCCGGACACAGCUGACAGACAGCUGACAGACUUGAUCUCGGUGAUCUUCAAGUGGAAGCCGAACCAUCAAGCUCAGAUGGAGCUGAACCUCCCCCCACCUCUCAUGAUUCUUCAUCUUCUUUGAGGUAAGAUGUCCAUUAUGCCAAAAAAAUUGCAAAAUUGUUUAUUUGUUCUUGGAAAUUACUUCAAAAAGUAUUUUUGACUGUUUUACCUUGUUUCAAUAAAAGUUUUCUAUUUGGAGUCAAAGAAAGAGCUUUUAGUUCAUCAUUAUUAUACAUAUUAUACUGUGCACAAUGGUACAUUUUGCAUAUAAAUGGGGUAAAUGUCAUGACCAAUGGUUAUAUUAUAUGUAGAAAGUGUCAUUAGAUGGUAAUAAGCUAUUUAAUUUUAACAAACCCCCAGUAUUGAUGUAA
Long non-coding RNA from Xiphophorus hellerii (green swordtail), 718 nucleotides. RefSeq lists it as uncharacterized. The transcript has 2 exons. NCBI's taxonomy places the organism in Eukaryota, Metazoa, Chordata, Actinopteri, Cyprinodontiformes, Poeciliidae. The record is from RefSeq and is a predicted model, not a curated record.